Globicephala melas (long-finned pilot whale) is the source of this 503-nucleotide long non-coding RNA. RefSeq lists it as uncharacterized. The record is from RefSeq and is a predicted model, not a curated record. Lineage: Eukaryota; Metazoa; Chordata; Mammalia; Artiodactyla; Delphinidae.
UUAAACCUCCUUUGACUACCAGGAAAAGCAGAAAGAAAGCAAUUUUAAAGGAAAAAAAUCUGCAUUUACUUUUUGCUUUAAAUACAUAUGAAAGACAGUUUAAGAAACUGUGCACUCAACAAAGAAUAGAUGAUUAUUUUUUCGGUGUCACUCACCAGGAAUACUCAGUAUUCAUUUCUGCGUCCAGUCUUUCUGAGAACCAGAGGGAGUGAAACAUUGAAAGACACAAGAUGAGAGAGAGAGAAAGAGAAAUCAAGAGAGAGAGAAAGAAAUUAUAACACCAAAUUACAAUCCAUGAAAAUCACAAGACACAGAGUUCUGUAAAACCUGGACUGAGUUCCCCGACCAGGGAUCAAACUUGUACCCCACUGCGGUGGAAGUGGGGGAGAUCCAACCACUGGACCGCCAAGGAAUUCCCUCAAGUCAGUUCUCUUUUCCUGACUUCUUGAGCCAUUUUUGGACCAGCUUCAGAGGCCUGCUCUGCUGUCUCCCAGAAAGGACCA